This 83-nucleotide non-coding RNA is filed under the name Legionella shakespearei DSM 23087. Its description in RNAcentral is "Legionella RNA 69". It matches the Rfam family "Legionella RNA 69". Lineage: Bacteria; Pseudomonadati; Pseudomonadota; Gammaproteobacteria; Legionellales; Legionellaceae. The record is from Rfam by way of RNAcentral.
AGACAGCGCUAUCGCGCUUCCUCAGUCCGAACGGCAUCGAAGUAACGAUUGAAUAAAACAAAUCUUCUUAUCUAUAACUCACG